GGACGCGUAGCUCAGCGGGAGAGCAUUCGCUUCACACGCGAAGGGUCACAGGUUCAAUCCCUGUCGCGUCCACCA
This 75-nucleotide transfer RNA is filed under the name Asticcacaulis excentricus. Its description in RNAcentral is "tRNA-Val". It matches the Rfam family "tRNA". Rfam says of the family: Transfer RNA (tRNA) molecules are approximately 80 nucleotides in length. Their secondary structure includes four short double-helical elements and three loops (D, anti-codon, and T loops). Lineage: Bacteria; Pseudomonadati; Pseudomonadota; Alphaproteobacteria; Caulobacterales; Caulobacteraceae. RNAcentral also lists the same sequence under 15 other names. The record is from RNAcentral.